GCCUCGAUAGCUCAGCCUGGUUAGAGCACGGGUUUCAUAAGCCCGGGGUCGCGUGUUCAAAUCACGCUCGAGGCA
This 75-nucleotide transfer RNA is filed under the name Nanobdellota archaeon. RNAcentral's name for it is "tRNA-Met". It matches the Rfam family "tRNA". From Rfam's summary of the family: Transfer RNA (tRNA) molecules are approximately 80 nucleotides in length. Lineage: Archaea; Nanobdellati; Nanobdellota. The record is from RNAcentral.